GCGUGAGUGAAGAAGGCCUUAGGGUUGUAAAGCUCUUUCAGCAGGGAAGAUGAUGACGGUACCUGCAGAAGAAGCCCCGGCUAACUCCGUGCCAGCAGCCGCGGUAAUACGGAGGGGGCUAGCGUUGCUCGGAAUUACUGGGCGUAAAGAGCAUGUAGGCGGAUUGUAUAGUCAGGCGUGAAAGCCCCAGGCUCAACCUGGGAACUGCGUUUGAUACUUACAGUCUUGAGUCCGAGAGAGGGUGGUGGAAUUCCUAGUGUAGAGGUGAAAUUCGU
RNAcentral lists this ribosomal RNA (275 nucleotides) under uncultured bacterium. RNAcentral's name for it is "partial 16S ribosomal RNA". It matches the Rfam family "Bacterial small subunit ribosomal RNA", at positions 399 to 691 of the family's 1533-position model. The record is from RNAcentral.